RNAcentral lists this long non-coding RNA (1161 nucleotides) under Homo sapiens (human). Its description in RNAcentral is "novel transcript". The record is from RNAcentral. Lineage: Eukaryota; Metazoa; Chordata; Mammalia; Primates; Hominidae.
CAUGUCUCUUUCCUCUCUGGGAAACAAGUCGCGACUCAGGGAUAAGCCUGAGACACAUGGAGAGAACAUCCUGAUCAAUCUGGUCUUUGCUGCUACCCUGGUCAACAGCCUGAGCUGGAUACCUGGCUGACAAGUACCACCUUUUUCCUACACAGAUGACAACCCAGCCCAUGAGCACCAGAUGCCACUGCUACUCCUUCACUUGCUCAUUCUGCAAAAGUUUGUAGAUCUUCUGCAAGGAGAACGGCAUUGUUAACUACCUACAGGAAGUGGUGUUGAUUUCCAAGAAAGAUCUUGUUCUUCAAACUCUGUUACAGCGUCUUCUCUGGAGAAGUCAACAGUGAGAUGGGCUAAAUGAAGAAGGAGCAGCUUAUUGUCUUUGUUGGUUUUCUUUAUUUUCCUUCGAAGCAUCUGGGGGAAGAGGAAGACAAUGGAUGAGAUGGCGUAUGUUCUUUCCGCCCUGUGAAUGAAUCAGAUUUGAACUCCUAAGCAAAAUAGAAAAUGCAGAAAUGGUGCUCAGGCAAAACCUGAGAGACACCGGGCUCAAGCGACUCUCCUCUGAAGUCCAUCUGAUAAAGUCUGAAUUAUGGAUAAGUCCUUUCCCCCUCAAUAGUCUACUGCUUACUAAAGUGUAGCUCAAUGACUCUGUGGGCUUGGGUAAUCAGCAGGUAAGCAUAGCUAUGCCCAAUGAAGCAGGGGCUGUGAGAAGAAGCCUUGAAGAGUACCUAAAGUAGAAAAUAAGUGAACUUUCUCCUAAGCCCAUAGGAAACAUCACUAUCCUGCUGAAGGCAGGGCAGAGGGAACACAGCAGAGUAGGCUCAGAAUAACUGGGAUUUGGGCACUGAUAUUAAUGUCACCAUAUCUACACUUAUUGAUUGUUGAGAUUAUACAUUUGGCUUGAAACCACAGGAACUAAUAUACUCUAAAUAUAAGCUGAGAAAAAUUAAAAAUAACCACAACUACAACAGUAGAAAGAGAAAAUAUAUGAAUGCCAAGAAUCUAAUGUGUAAAUUAACUACAAGGGUUUAGAAGUUUUGGGCAUCUCCCUGGGGAUUAGCUGUGCUCAGUCUCCCCUCCAGGAAAUCAUUUACAACUCUAUGUCUGUUACCCCAAAAUGACUUAAAUGAAGUUUAGGAUAAGACAGAGACAAGUUCAGAACAA